AUGGAUCAUUAAACAUAUCUACGUAUCAACCAAUCGUGAACUCUCGUUUUUUCCAACGUGCUCUGUUUCGAUAGGUUUUUUGUUUCGGGGAGUCCCGGCCUCUGAGCCGUCCGAGCUGUAAAAGGCUUUGGCGGUGUACGACGUGCUUGGCUUCUUGGGUCAGAAGACUUGUUGAGACAUCAUGGAGGAAACUUAUUAACCCAUUGUAUUAUCAUCCCCAGUUAUUUUAUUCUUUGUCGCGGCCUAACGGCGGACUUUCUAGUAAGAAAUUUUUGUACAACUCUUAACGAUGGAUAUCUAGGCUCUC
This 307-nucleotide unclassified non-coding RNA is filed under the name uncultured fungus. Its description in RNAcentral is "partial contains 18S rRNA, ITS1, 5.8S rRNA, ITS2 and 28S rRNA". Lineage: Eukaryota; Fungi. The record is from RNAcentral.